CCUACGGGGGGCAGCAGUCGAGAAUCAUUCACAAUGGGGGAAACCCUGAUGGUGCGACGCCGCGUGGGGGAAUGAAGGUCUUCGGAUUGUAAACCCCUGUCAUGUGGGAGCAAAUUAAAAAGAUAGUACCACAAGAGGAAGAGACGGCUAACUCUGUGCCAGCAGCCGCGGUAAUACAGAGGUCUCAAGCGUUGUUCGGAAUCACUGGGCGUAAAGGGUGCGUAGGCUGUUGCGUAAGUCGUGUGUGAAAGGCGCGGGCUCAACCCGCGGACGGCACAUGAUACUGCGAGACUAGAGUAAUGGAGGGGGAACCGGAAUUCUCGGUGUAGCAGUGAAAUGCGUAGAUAGCGAGAGGAACACUCGUGGCGAAGGCGGGUUCCUGGACAUUAACUGACGCUGAGGCACGAAGGCCAGGGGAGCGAAAGGGAUUAGAUACCCGUGUAGUC
Molecule: ribosomal RNA, 446 nt
Filed under: uncultured bacterium
Lineage: Bacteria
Description: partial 16S ribosomal RNA
Rfam family: Bacterial small subunit ribosomal RNA
Source: RNAcentral